RNAcentral lists this ribosomal RNA (487 nucleotides) under uncultured bacterium. Its description in RNAcentral is "partial 16S ribosomal RNA". It matches the Rfam family "Bacterial small subunit ribosomal RNA", at positions 28 to 507 of the family's 1533-position model. The record is from RNAcentral.
GAUGAACGCUAGCGAUAGGCUUAACACAUGCAAGUCGAGGGGCAGCACAAGGUAGCUUGCUAUCUGGGUGGCGACCGGCGCACGGGUGCGUAACGCGUAUGCAACUUGCCCUAUACAGGAGGAUAACCCGUCGAAAGACGGACUAAUACUGCGUAUGCUCACAACUUGGCAUCAAGUGGUGAGGAAAGAAAUUCGGUAUAGGAUAGGCAUGCGUCCCAUUAGCUUGUCGGUGAGGUAACGGCUCACCAAGGCAACGAUGGGUAGGGGAACUGAGAGGUUUAUCCCCCACACUGGUACUGAGACACGGACCAGACUCCUACGGGAGGCAGCAGUGAGGAAUAUUGGUCAAUGGGCGCGAGCCUGAACCAGCCAAGUCGCGUGAAGGAAGACUGUCUUAUGGAUUGUAAACUUCUUUUAUACGGGAAUAACAAGAGUCACGUGUGACUCCCUGCAUGUACCGUAUGAAUAAGCAUCGGCUAACUCCGUG